RNAcentral lists this unclassified non-coding RNA (220 nucleotides) under uncultured Tomentella. Its description in RNAcentral is "sequence contains ITS2". The record is from RNAcentral. Lineage: Eukaryota; Fungi; Basidiomycota; Agaricomycetes; Thelephorales; Thelephoraceae.
ACACCUCAACUCUCAUGGUUUGCCGUGAUGAGCUUGGACUCUGGGGGAUUUGCUGGCCUGCGGUCGGCUCCCCUCAAAUGAAUUAGCUUUCCAGUGUUUGGUGGCAUCACGGGUGUGAUAAAUAUCUACGCUUGUGGUUUCCUGCCAGGUAACCUUCAGUAAUGGGGGUUCGCUGGGGCUCAUAAACGUCUCUCCUCAGCGAAGACAGCUUUGUGAAUGU